AAAAAAUUAUUAUUGAUAAAUUUAUAGAUUAAAAUAUUCAAAAUAUUAAAUAUUUUAUUAAUUUAAUGAAUAAAGGAAAAUUAUUAUAGUUAAUAGUAAAGUGAUUGAAAUUUGAAAUAUUAUAUUUAUUAAAUUUUAAAAAGAAAAAUUUAUUCUUUGUACCUUUUGUAUCAGGGUUAAUUUAAAUUUUUAAAUUAAAAUUAAUUUCUCGAAUUUAAAAGAGUUAAUUUUUAAAUUAUUUUAUUGUGUUAAAAAUAUUUAAAAUUAAAAAUUUGUAAUGAAAUGUUAUUCGUUUUUAAAUAUAUCUAGUUUUUUAAGAAUUAUAUUUAAUAUAGAUUUUAUUUUCUAUAAAAUUUAAUUUUUAAAAUUUCAUGAUUUAAAAUUUGAAAAUUUUAGGGAUAAGCUUAAAAUUUAAUUUUUAAAUCAUAAAAUUUUUCAUAAUUUAUAGAACUAAAAAAUUUUUCAAAAAAAAAUGUUAUAAUUUAUUAUAAUUAAGAAAUUAAAUUUUAUUUUUUAAAGUAUUUUAUUAAAAAAUUAUUUAAAUAGAAAAUGUAAUGUUAUAAUGAUUAAAUUAGUAUAAAAUUAAUUUAUUAAUAAAUUAUUUUGUGAGGUUAGAGUAAGGAAUUCGGCAAAAGUAAUUUUCACCUGUUUAAUAAAAACAUGUCUUUUUGAUAAUAAUUUAAAGUCUGACCUGCUCAAUGAAAUUUAAAUAGCUGCGGUAUUUUGACCGUACAAAGGUAGCAUAAUCAAUAGUUUUUUAAAUGAAAACUGGAAUGAAAGGUUUGAUGAAAAAUUAACUGUCUCAAUCUAAUUUAAUUAGAAUUUUAUUUUUUAGUCAAAAAGCUAAAAUAAAUUUAAAAGACGAGAAGACCCUAUAGAGUUUUAUUAUUAUUAAAUAAAAAUUUUUAGAAAAAAUAUUUUUUUGAAAUAAUAAUUUAAUUGGGGUGAUGGAAAAAUUUAAAGAACUUUUUUUUUAAUUUCAAUUAUUUUUGUUUUUUUGAUCCAUUUAAAUGAUUAUAAGAUUAAAUUNNNNNNAUAACAGCGUAAAUUUUUUUAAGAGUUCUUAUCGAAAAAAAAGAUUGCGACCUCGAUGUUGGAUUAAAAUUUCUUUAUGGUGAAGAAGCUAUAAAAUUAGGUCUGUUCGACCUUUAAAAUUUUACAUGAUCUGAGUUUAGACCGGCGUAAGCCAGGUUGGAUUCUAUCUUUAAAUUCAUAAAAUAUUUUAGUACGAAAGGACCAAAUAUUUUCUUUAAAAGUUUAUUUUGAUUAUUU
RNAcentral lists this ribosomal RNA (1272 nucleotides) under Discolomatinae sp. GENSP01. Its description in RNAcentral is "16S ribosomal RNA". The stretch from base 1036 to 1193 matches the Rfam family "Archaeal large subunit ribosomal RNA", at positions 2543 to 2701 of the family's 2987-position model. Lineage: Eukaryota; Metazoa; Arthropoda; Insecta; Coleoptera; Discolomatidae. The record is from RNAcentral.